Gallus gallus (chicken) is the source of this 1422-nucleotide long non-coding RNA. The record is from Ensembl. NCBI's taxonomy places the organism in Eukaryota, Metazoa, Chordata, Aves, Galliformes, Phasianidae.
AUCUUAAACAUGAGGUGUUACAAAGCCAGGGUUGAAAUGUGCUCUAGUAGAGGACGCUCUGGGCUGAGAGAGAAAGGAAGGAGUUCCCGAGAAGGGGACUUGAACUACAAAUCAAGAAGACAAGGAGAGGAGAAAGAUCAUAAUUAGCUAUAGCUCUAAACGUAACAAGAAGAAUUUUUCAAUCAAUAUGGUAAGCUGCUUGUAGCCAAUUAAAAGACUGUAAAGUGAGGACAAUGCCAUAUGCAGAUUAGGCUUGCCUCAUAAAAAGAGCCUUAAAGCAGUGUUGCAUAGUUCAUGAAUUGAUUUUGCUUGAAGGCUGAAGGAAAAGGAACUGCAGUAAGCCAGUCUCACAGGAAUAAAAAAUGGUACCUCGAAGAACUCUAUCAAUGGCAAACAAAAUGGUCAGAGGAGUUUUAUAUACCUCGUUUUUAGUAAAGUUUCUCGGCAACUUUAAUGGGAUCACACUGAAGCAGAACUACAGCAAAGCUUUAAUUCACCACUGAAUCCCAGCACUUUGCCUGUGACAACUCUAUACAAUACUGCAGCAUUUGGAACAAUGAGGAUACUACCUCCAACGCCAGAAGCUGAAGAGUUAAAGAGUUAGUCUCCUGCAGAGAAAGCGGGGAGUCAAGAAAAACACCCAGACAUAUAGUUGUUGAGACAGGAGCAACAUUACAGCCAUUAAAAUCAAAUGUCAAAGAAGGAACAAUGCCUAUUAGCUUUUAGAAACCAAAAAUGAGCAGUUCAGCUUUAUCAAACAAAUAGGUUGCACUAUCCAAUUACUAAGUUCUGAUAAGGACCAUGUCAAUUUUGAAAUUGUACUGAGCCUGAGCUCAGUACAGCUGAGCCUGUGCAGAAGAAAAAAACAAAUAUGAGAAUAAGAGUUAUCCGCAUAACAAGGAUAAAAGAAAGCCAAACUAUUGCAAUCCUGACCUAAUUACCCAGACAAAUCACUCCCCUUUCAGGAACAUUGUAAAGCCAGUAAAAUCACUGUAGCCUUGACUCUGACCUUGUAUGAUGCCAUUCAGGUCCCAUUCAUCAGAAGCCUCGAGAAAUCAUCAGGUUGGGUCCUUCACUUGAACCAAUAUCAUUCCAGCAUGUUUUUGUUUCAUCUCCUGGGAAUAUCACAGCUAGGACUGCAUAAGCUCCAGCUAAGUAGGCAGCAAAGGACUGCAGCCUGCAGAGUGAAUGGGACUCCCCAUCUACAGCAGAUGCGCAGACCUAGCUACAAAGAGUGAUCAGCAAGUAUACUAGAAGAAGCCAGAGGCACAGCCAAUAGCAUGUUUGCCUUUUUAGAGUAAUGUCCAUUAAGUUCCCUAUAUAUCCUGACAAAGCUGAAAGAGGACACAUACCACCAGCAAUAUUAGAGCAAAAGCUAAUAAUCAUGUGGGACUAUAUAUGAGUUUCAAAACACUGAGCUAC